This 301-nucleotide ribosomal RNA is filed under the name uncultured bacterium. RNAcentral's name for it is "partial 16S ribosomal RNA". It matches the Rfam family "Bacterial small subunit ribosomal RNA", at positions 509 to 807 of the family's 1533-position model. The record is from RNAcentral.
CAGUAGCCGCGGGAAAACGUAGGUGGCAAGCGUUGUCCGAAACUAUUGGGCGUAAAGGGCUCGCAGGCGGUUUCUUAAGUCUGAUGUGAAAGCCCCCGGCUCAACCGGGGAGGGUCAUUGGAAACUGGGAAACUUGAGUGCAGAAGAGGAGAGUGGAAUUCCACGUGUAGCGGUGAGAUGCGUAGAGAUGUGGAGGAACACCAGUGGCGAAGGCGACUCUCUGGUCUGUAACUGACGCUGAGGAGCGAAAGCGUGGGGAGCGAACAGGAUUAGAUACCCCCGUAGUCCCUGUCUCUUAUAC